CUGCUGCUUCGCCACGAAAGAGUUCCCGUGCCGUGGGAGUAAGUCUGGGACCUCUGGUCGGACCGGAGAGUCGCAGCUGUGUGUUAGGGCUAGGAUGGCUCCUGGAUGCGCGUGACGCAAGUGACCUUGCGUGUAAAGGGAUACAUGAUCCCUUAAUUCAGGCUCAGGCUGAAGAACUGACCCACUUACAACAGAAGAUACAGGAAGGGAGAGGUGUCUGCUACCUUUUCACCCAGCAUGUGAAGAACACAGUCAAGUCUUUUGAGGGCCUUCUCAGGAACACUGACAUUGCCUACUACCAGAGACAGAGAUUCUGUGAGCAAAUGGUACAAGGAAGCCAGCUGACAGAGAUCCUUGUCAGAAAACUUGCCACAGAAGAUGAGAUCCAGAGCCAGUGGCAGCACCUGAAGGAGACCCUUUUCAUCAACAACUGCCUGUGAGAAAAGCUAGAACGUCAUCACAGCAGCUUUGAUGAAGAAAAUGGUAGGAGAGGCCCAAGUCAGCCUGCUUCUGGCAAUAUGUAUUUUUCUAAAGGAUGCACCUCUAACCUCUACAGGCAAAUCAUAGAUUCCAUUGUCCAGCUGUAUAAUGAAAACAGAGUUCUCAGAGAAGAAUACCGGAGACUCUCCCGACUUGCCUGAAUCAAAUUUCCAGAGGUAA
RNAcentral lists this long non-coding RNA (660 nucleotides) under Homo sapiens (human). RNAcentral describes it as "non-protein coding lnc-PPIAL4A-2:12". Lineage: Eukaryota; Metazoa; Chordata; Mammalia; Primates; Hominidae. The record is from RNAcentral.